Molecule: ribosomal RNA, 497 nt
Filed under: uncultured bacterium
Lineage: Bacteria
Description: partial 16S ribosomal RNA
Rfam family: Bacterial small subunit ribosomal RNA
Source: RNAcentral
GAUGAACGCUGGCGGCGUGCCUAAUACAUGCAAGUCGAGCGAACGGACGAGAAGCUUGCUUCUCUGAUGUUAGCGGCGGACGGGUGAGUAACACGUGGAUAACCUACCUAUAAGACUGGGAUAACUUCGGGAAACCGGAGCUAAUACCGGAUAAUAUUUUGAACCGCAUGGUUCAAAAGUGAAAGACGGUCUUGCUGUCACUUAUAGAUGGAUCCGCGCUGCAUUAGCUAGUUGGUAAGGUAACGGCUUACCAAGGCAACGAUGCAUAGCCGACCUGAGAGGGUGAUCGGCCACACUGGAACUGAGACACGGUCCAGACUCCUACGGGAGGCAGCAGUAGGGAAUCUUCCGCAAUGGGCGAAAGCCUGACGGAGCAACGCCGCGUGAGUGAUGAAGGUCUUCGGAUCGUAAAACUCUGUUAUUAGGGAAGAACAUAUGUGUAAGGAACUGUACACAUCUUGACGGUACCUAAUCAGAAAGCCACGGCUAACUACGUG